This is a non-coding RNA of Python bivittatus (Burmese python), 305 nucleotides long. The record is from RefSeq and is a predicted model, not a curated record. NCBI's taxonomy places the organism in Eukaryota, Metazoa, Chordata, Lepidosauria, Squamata, Pythonidae.
AUUACUUCACCCAGAAAACCUACAUAUAAAGGCUACUCUUCCUUCAACAAUUGACCUAAUUAUUUAAAGAGGUGGAGAAGGAGAAAUUCUCCAGCAUUUCUCAAGAGCAGGACUUCCAAUUAGAGGUGUUAAUGGCAUUGCUACAGGUCUUUCUUUGAGAUUGAACAGAAGUGGUGGAAGGCUGAAGACUGCUGGAGAGAGGACGGUACCAGGAAAGAUGGGGCUUAUAUCCCUGAUCUGCUAUGGAACUAAUCUCUACAAUAUCUGUGUUGAGGUGCAGCAAUCAGAAAAGCACUCCACUUCAG